GGACAGUUUCCCGAGUGGCCAAAGGGAACAGACUGUAAAUCUGUCAGCUCCGCUUUCGGUGGUUCGAAUCCACCACUGUCCACCA
This 85-nucleotide transfer RNA is filed under the name Clostridiales bacterium. RNAcentral describes it as "tRNA-Tyr". It matches the Rfam family "tRNA". From Rfam's summary of the family: Transfer RNA (tRNA) molecules are approximately 80 nucleotides in length. Their secondary structure includes four short double-helical elements and three loops (D, anti-codon, and T loops). Lineage: Bacteria; Bacillati; Bacillota; Clostridia; Eubacteriales. The record is from RNAcentral.